CGCCAGGAAUUUUCCUGGUAGGAUCUGCCCACUGAACUUUAAAUGGCCGCAGUACCCUGACUGUGCUAAGGUAGCAUAAUAAUUUGCCUUUUAAUUAAAGGCUAGCAUGAAUGAUUUGACGAAAGAAGAGCUGUCUCCGCUUAUUUUUAAUAAAUUAACCUAGAAGUUAAAAGGCUUCUAUUCUCUAGAGGGACGACAAGACCCUAUAAAGCUUUAUUUAUCAUAUUUCUAUUUAUUUCAAAAAAAAAAUAUAAAUUUAUAAAUUUUAUUGGGGCGAUAGAUAAAAAAACAUUAUUAACCAUAACGUUUUUAACGAAACUUAUAAAAUAUUCUUAAACUAAACAAGUUACUUUAGGGAUAACAGCAUAAUUUCUUUUUAGAGCCCUUAUCGACAAAGAAGAUUAUGACCUCGAUGUUGAAUUGAGCUACUCCUUUUAUGUAGACUUAAAAGGCAGGAGUCUGUUCGACCCUUAA
This 474-nucleotide ribosomal RNA is filed under the name Tylos sp. clade F MM-2013. RNAcentral describes it as "partial 16S large subunit ribosomal RNA". It matches the Rfam family "Archaeal large subunit ribosomal RNA", at positions 1924 to 2660 of the family's 2987-position model. Lineage: Eukaryota; Metazoa; Arthropoda; Malacostraca; Isopoda; Tylidae. The record is from RNAcentral.